This 106-nucleotide small nuclear RNA is filed under the name Ursus thibetanus thibetanus. Lineage: Eukaryota; Metazoa; Chordata; Mammalia; Carnivora; Ursidae. The record is from RNAcentral.
AUGCCUGCUUUGCAGCAUAUAUACUAAAAUUGGGAUGAUACAGAGAAGAUUAGCAUGUCCCCUGCACAGGGAUGACACACAAAUUUGCAAAGCAUUCCAUAUUUAU